Molecule: ribosomal RNA, 762 nt
Filed under: uncultured Acidobacteriota bacterium
Lineage: Bacteria; Pseudomonadati; Acidobacteriota
Description: bacterial SSU rRNA
Rfam family: Bacterial small subunit ribosomal RNA
Source: RNAcentral
GAUCCUGGCUCAGAAUCAACGCUGGCGGCGUGCCUAACACAUGCAAGUCGAACGAGAAAGCUCGUAGCAAUACGGGUGAGUACAGUGGCGACCGGGUGAGUAACACGUGGAUAACCUACCCUCGAGCGGGGAAUAACCCUGGGAAACCGGGGCUAAUACCGCAUAACACCCGAGCGACUGCGGUUGCUUGGUUGAAACCUGGAAACGGGGCUCGAUGAGGGGUCCGCGGCUGAUUAGCUAGUUGGUGAGGUAACGGCCCACCAAGGCUAUGAUCGGUAGCCGGCCUGAGAGGGCGGUCGGCCACACUGGAACUGAAACACGGUCCAGACUCCUACGGGAGGCAGCAGUGGGGAAUUUUGCGCAAUGGGGGAAACCCUGACGCAGCAACGCCGCGUGGACGAUGAAGCCCCUUGGGGUGUAAAGUCCUUUCGGCAGGGACGAAACCGAGCAAUCGGUUGACGGUACCUGUAGAAGAAGCCCCGGCUAACUCCGUGCCAGCAGCCGCGGUAAUACGGGGGGGGCAAGCGUUGUUCGGAGUUACUGGGCGUAAAGAGUACGUAGGCGGUUUGCUAAGUCUGGUGUGAAAUCUCCUGGCUUAACUGGGAGGGUGCGCUAGAUACUGGCAGGCUUGAGUAUGGGAGAGGAGAGUGGAAUUCCUGGUGUAGCGGUGAAAUGCGUAGAUAUCAGGAGGAACGCCGGUGGUGUAGACGGCUCUCUGGACCAUUACUGACGCUGAGGUACGAAAGCGUGGGUAGCAAACAG